RNAcentral lists this small RNA (586 nucleotides) under Pongo abelii (Sumatran orangutan). RNAcentral's name for it is "retained intron". The record is from RNAcentral. Lineage: Eukaryota; Metazoa; Chordata; Mammalia; Primates; Hominidae.
GCUGCACCGGCGCUGCCCUGCGGGACCUGGCGCUUAUUUUGCUUUGCUACCUGUGGUACCUCAGAGCUUGUGCCGUGGAUUCGGCAACCUGUCGCUGAUUCCGCAGCAGUAACCCCCCCUCCCGGAGAGGCUCGUGCGAUUUUGGCUCAUGGCUCUCAACUUGCUCACGACGAAAGGAUGCCACGGAGAAAGAAAAAAGUUAAAGAAGUCUCCGAAUCUCGGAACCUGGAGAAGGAGGAUGUGGAAACUACCAAUUCUGUCACUGUGAAGAGGAAGCGUAGACUUGAGGAUGCAUUCAUUGUGAUAUCCGAUAGUGAUGGAGAGGAACCAAAGGAGGAAAAUGGAUUGCAGAAAAUGAAGACAAAACAGUCGAAUAGAGCAAAGUGUUUGGCCAAAAGAAAAAUUGCACAGAUGACAGAAGAAGAACAGUUUGCUCUGGCUCUCAAAAUGAGUGAGCAGGAAGCUAGGGAGGUGAACAGCCAGGAGGAGGAAGAAGAGGAGCUCUUGAGGAAAGCCAUUGCUGAAAGCCUGAAUGUAAAUAUGCCAUGUUGCCAAAGUUUGUGGAGAUUGAUCAGCAAUAUUUUCG